AACGAACGCUGGCGGCAGGCUUAACACAUGCAAGUCGAACGCCCCGCAAGGGGAGUGGCAGACGGGUGAGUAACACGUGGGAACGUACCCUUUACUACGGAAUAACGCAGGGAAACUUGUGCUAAUACCGUAUGUGCCCUUCGGGGGAAAGAUUUAUCGGUAAAGGAUCGGCCCGCGUUGGAUUAGCUAGUUGGUGGGUAAGCCUACAAGGCGACGAUCCAUAGCUGGUCUGAGAGGAUGAUCAGCCACAUUGGGACUGAGACACGGCCCAAACUCCUACGGAGGCAGCAGUGGGAAUAUUGGACAAUGGGCGCAAGCCUGAUCCAGCCAUGCCGCGUGAGUGAU
Molecule: ribosomal RNA, 345 nt
Filed under: uncultured bacterium
Lineage: Bacteria
Description: bacterial SSU rRNA
Rfam family: Bacterial small subunit ribosomal RNA
Source: RNAcentral